RNAcentral lists this ribosomal RNA (459 nucleotides) under uncultured bacterium. Its description in RNAcentral is "partial 16S ribosomal RNA". It matches the Rfam family "Bacterial small subunit ribosomal RNA", at positions 338 to 795 of the family's 1533-position model. The record is from RNAcentral.
CCUACGGGGGGCAGCAGUGAGGAAUAUUGGUCAAUGGCCGGAAGUCUGAACCAGCCAAGCCGCGUGAAGGACGAAGGUGCCAAGCAUUGUAAACUUCUUUUGUCAAGGGACAAAAUCAGGCUCGAGAGCCUGACCGAGGGUACUUGAAGAAAAAGCAUCGGCUAACUCCGUGCCAGCAGCCGCGGUAAUACGGAGGAUGCGAGCGUUAUCCGGAUUUAUUGGGUUUAAAGGGUGCGUAGGCGGGCUGUUAAGUCAGCGGUAAAAGUCCGGGGCUCAACCCCGGCGAGCCGUUGAAACUGGCUGUCUUGAGAAGUCGAGAGGUAGGCGGAAUGCGUGGUGUAGCGGUGAAAUGCUUAGAUAUUGCGCAGAACUCCGAUUGCGAAGGCAGCAUACCGGCGUGGAUCUGACGCUGAGGCACGAAAGCGUGGGUAUCGAACAGGAUUAGAUACCCGUGUAGUC